CCGGCUCCGGUUCACGCUCCGCCCACAUGGGGGAACGACCCGGCGGCC
RNAcentral lists this non-coding RNA (48 nucleotides) under unclassified sequences. Its description in RNAcentral is "L31-Actinobacteria ribosomal protein leader". It matches the Rfam family "L31-Actinobacteria ribosomal protein leader". The record is from RNAcentral.